UUGCUUCCACUGAGAAGAUAGUGGCGGACGGGUGAGUAACACGUGGGUAACCUGCCCAUAAGAGGGGGAUAACAUCCGGAAACGGGUGCUAAUACCGCAUAGUUUUCUUGAUCGCAUGAUCGAGAAAGGAAAGACGGCCUUUGUGCUGUCGCUUAUGGAUGGACCCGCGGCGUAUUAGUUAGUUGGUGAGGUAACGGCUCACCAAGACGAUGAUACGUAGCCGACCUGAGAGGGUGAUCGGCCACAUUGGGACUGAGACACGGCCCAAACUCCUACGGGAGGCAGCAGUAGGGAAUCUUCCGCAAUGGACGAAAGUCUGACGGAGCAACGCCGCGUGAGUGAAGAAGGUUUUCGGAUCGUAAAACUCUGUUGUCAGAGAAGAACAAGUCGGAGAGUAACUGCUCCGGCCUUGACGGUAUCUGACCAGAAAGCCACGGCUAACUACGUGCCAGCAGCCGCGGUAAUACGUAGGUGGCAAGCGUUGUCCGGAUUUAUUGGGCGUAAAGCGAGCGCAGGCGGUUCCUUAAGUCUGAUGUG
Molecule: ribosomal RNA, 537 nt
Filed under: uncultured Carnobacteriaceae bacterium
Lineage: Bacteria; Bacillati; Bacillota; Bacilli; Lactobacillales; Carnobacteriaceae
Description: bacterial SSU rRNA
Rfam family: Bacterial small subunit ribosomal RNA
Source: RNAcentral